GACGAACGCUGGCGGCGUGCUUAACACAUGCAAGUCGAACGGAAAGGCCCUGCUUUUGUGGGGUGCUCGAGUGGCGAACGGGUGAGUAACACGUGAGUAACCUGCCCCUGACUUUGGGAUAACUUCAGGAAACUGGGGCUAAUACCGGAUAGGAGCUCCUGCUGCAUGGUGGGGGUUGGAAAGUUUCGGCGGUUGGGGAUGGACUCGCGGCUUAUCAGCUUGUUGGUGGGGUAGUGGCUUACCAAGGCUUUGACGGGUAGCCGGCCUGAGAGGGUGACCGGCCACAUUGGGACUGAGAUACGGCCCAGACUCCUACGGGAGGCAGCAGUGGGGAAUAUUGCACAAUGGGCGGAAGCCUGAUGCAGCAACGCCGCGUGCGGGAUGACGGCCUUCGGGUUGUAAACCGCUUUCGCCUGUGACGAAGCGUGAGUGACGGUAAUGGGUAAAGAAGCACCAGCUAACUACGUG
RNAcentral lists this ribosomal RNA (468 nucleotides) under uncultured bacterium. RNAcentral's name for it is "partial 16S ribosomal RNA". It matches the Rfam family "Bacterial small subunit ribosomal RNA", at positions 28 to 507 of the family's 1533-position model. The record is from RNAcentral.